GACGAACGCUGGCGGCGUGCCUAAUACAUGCAAGUAGAACGCACAGUUUAUACCGUAGCUUGCUACACCAUAGACUGUGAGUUGCGAACGGGUGAGUAACGCGUAGGUAACCUGCCUGGUAGCGGGGGAUAACUAUUGGAAACGAUAGCUAAUACCGCAUAAUAUUAAUUAUUGCAUGAUAAUUAAUUGAAAGGCGCAAUUGCACCACUACCAGCUGGACCUGCGUUGUAUUAGCUAGUAGGGGAGGUAACGGCUCACCUAGGCGACGAUACAUAGCCGACCUGAGAGGGUGAUCGGCCACACUGGGACUGAGACACGGCCCAGACUCCUACGGGAGGCAGCAGUAGGGAAUCUUCGGCAAUGGACGGAAGUCUGACCGAGCAACGCCGCGGGAGUGAAGAAGGUUUUCGGAUCGUAAAGCUCUGUUGUAAGAGAAGAACGGGUGUGAGAGUGGAAAGUUCACACUGUGACGGUAUCUUACCAGAAAGGGACGGCUAACUACGUG
This 505-nucleotide ribosomal RNA is filed under the name uncultured bacterium. RNAcentral's name for it is "partial 16S ribosomal RNA". It matches the Rfam family "Bacterial small subunit ribosomal RNA", at positions 28 to 507 of the family's 1533-position model. The record is from RNAcentral.